GUGCUCGCUUUGGCAGCACAUAGAUUAAAAAUGGAACAAUGAAGGGAAGAUCAGCAUGUUCCCUGCACAAAGGUGACACACAAAUUUUUGAAGCAUGCCAUAUUUUU
Molecule: small nuclear RNA, 107 nt
Filed under: Callithrix jacchus (white-tufted-ear marmoset)
Lineage: Eukaryota; Metazoa; Chordata; Mammalia; Primates; Cebidae
Source: RNAcentral